UACGGGGGGAGCAAGCGUUGUUCGGAUUUACUGGGCGUAAAGGGCGCGUAGGCGGCGUGACAAGUCACUUGUGAAAUCUCCGGGCUUAACUCGGAACGGUCAAGUGAUACUGUCGGACUAGAGUACAGAAGGGGCAACUGGAAUUCUCGGUGUAGCGGUGAAAUGCGUAGAUAUCGAGAGGAACACCUGCGGCGAAGGCGGGUUGCUGGGCUGAUACUGACGCUGAGGCGACGAAAGCCAGGGGAGCGAACGGG
This 254-nucleotide ribosomal RNA is filed under the name uncultured bacterium. RNAcentral describes it as "partial 16S ribosomal RNA". It matches the Rfam family "Bacterial small subunit ribosomal RNA", at positions 524 to 776 of the family's 1533-position model. The record is from RNAcentral.